This 434-nucleotide ribosomal RNA is filed under the name uncultured bacterium. RNAcentral describes it as "partial 16S ribosomal RNA". It matches the Rfam family "Bacterial small subunit ribosomal RNA", at positions 29 to 507 of the family's 1533-position model. The record is from RNAcentral.
AGCGAACGCUGGCGGCAGGCCUAACACAUGCAAGUCGAACGAACCGUUCGGGGUUAGUGGCGGACGGGGGAGUAACACGUGGGAACGUGCCUGUAGGUUCGGAAUAACUCAGGGAAACAUGUGCUAAUACCGAAUGGGCCCUUCGGGGGAAAGAGUUAUCGCCGUUCGAGCGGCCCUCGUCUGAUUAGCUAGUUGGGUGAGGUAAUGGCGCACCAAGGCGACGAUCAGGAGCUGGUCUGAGAGGAGGAUCAGCCACGUUGGGAAUGCGACCCGGCCCAAUAUCCUACGGGAGGCAGCAGUGGGGAGUCUUGCGCGAUGGGCGCAGGCCUGACGCAGCCAUGCCGCGUGAAUGAUGAAGGUCUUAGGAUAGUACAAUUCUUUCACCGGGGACGAUAAUGACGGUACCCGGAGAAGAAGCCCCGGCUAACUUCGUG